RNAcentral lists this ribosomal RNA (458 nucleotides) under uncultured bacterium. RNAcentral's name for it is "SSU rRNA". It matches the Rfam family "Bacterial small subunit ribosomal RNA", at positions 26 to 518 of the family's 1533-position model. The record is from RNAcentral.
AGAAUCAACGCUGGCGGCGUGCCUAACACAUGCAAGUCGAACGAGAAAGUGGAGCAAUCCAUGAGUAAAGUGGCGCACGGGUGAGUAACACGUGACUAACCUACCCUUGAGUGGGGGAUAACCUAGAGAAAUCUGGGCUAAUACCGCAUAAUACCUUCGGGUCAAAGGAGCAAUUCGCUUAAGGAGGGGGUCGCGGCCGAUUAGUUAGUUGGCGGGGUAAUGGCCCACCAAGACUAUGAUCGGUAUCCGGCCUGAGAGGGCGCACGGACACACUGGAACUGAAACACGGUCCAGACUCCUACGGGAGGCAGCAGUGGGAAUUUGCGCAAUGGGGGAAACCCUGACGCAGCAACGCCGCGUGGAGGAUGAAGUCCCUUGGGACGUAAACUCCUUUCGAUCGGGACGAUAAUGACGGUACCGAGAGAAGAAGCCCCGGCUAACUUCGUGCCAGCAGCCGC